AGAAGGGAGGAUUGAGAGAGAAGGUGCAAUUAGCCACCAAAUUUGGGAUAAUUUGGAAGGAUGGGAAAAUGGAAAUUCGAGGGGAACCGGAUUAUAUUCGUGCCGCUUGCGAGGCUAGCUUGAUCCGGCUGGGUAUCGAGUGUAUUGACCUUUAUUAUGUUCAUCGGAUUGACACCCGCGUCCCUAUUGAAGUCACGGUUUGGCUCUCCAUUUCUCUCUUUAUAUACAACUUUUUCAUAUUUUGUAGGAGUUCAGAUCUUUUAUCUGGUUAUGCCUGUCUCUGUUUCAAGUUAUAAGAUCAUUAUUGAUUUUGAAAGUCAAUUUAAAGCAUUUUUAAACUCAAAACUGGGUUGAUCAAAACUUAUGAAACAAUAAAUCUGAACUACAUGUAGGAUGGCUACAAAUUUCAUAAUUUUAUUAAUUAAAAUUAAAGGAAUUUAUGUUAAUUUUGAGUUUUGAAAUGUGUUAAAUUGACUUUUAAAUGUCAAAAUGAUCUUAUAUUUGGAAUAGAGGUAGUGUUAUAUUAACUUUCUAAAGGGAACAUUGGUUGAGACUAAUUUGAAUUCAUUUUGUAGUUGUUAUUGAAAAUGACUGAACACUAUAUAUAUAUAUUAACUUAUCUGUUGUAAACCAAUGUAAAAAAUCAUUAUGUCAAGGCUAGUACUUUGUACUAUGUCCUUAAGACAAUUAUGCCCUCCGUGCGGUACUUAGAGUUUUCUAACACUUGUCUCUCAGAGACACGUAUACUUUAGCAGCACAACAAAAAAUAUACUUAACGAACCAAAAAAGUGUUCAGAACUCUCUCAAAAUGAACUAUAAACUGCUAAUGAAAUAAAAAAGAAAAAGACUAGAAUGCUUAUGCUUUGCUGAUUUGAAUGAAUGAAAUGGUUGUCCCUUCUUAUCUAUUUAUAAGAGGGUAAGUAACCCAUCAGAAAGGUCACAACCCAUUGGAAAGGCAUGAUUAAGCCAAAAUCGACGUAAUUUUGGCUUUAAACAGAAAAGGAGCAUCCGUUUGAAUCAUAAACUACGUAGUUUUAAGCUUAGCAGAACAAAAACGACGUAGUUUAACGCUUAUCAGAAAAGGGCGCGGGCAAAAACGACGUAGUUUUGGGGCGUCCGUUCAGGCAGAUAGUUUUCCCCCAAACGACGUAGUUUAGACGCGUCCGUUCGGCAGAUACCGCUUUCCAAAACGAUAUAGUAUUGAUAAUAAAUAAUAGUUAUCAAAACGACACAGUUUUGAUAAUAGAACUAAAUUAAAAUAAAUUUUAAAUAAAUUUUGUCAAAAAAAUUAUAUACAAUAACCCAGACCCUCGAGACCCUCGAACCACGAGUCAGGUCGACGACGACGUGGGUUCAAACCAAGCCUUGGCUAUGUUCUCUCCCUUCCACAAAAGUGGGGUGCCCCUUGGGACCCAAAACCCAAUAGCAAUUUCCUUGUAUAUAUACAUAUUAAACGUUUAGUUCUUAACCAAUGUGGGACUUGGCUUCUCACAUGUAUUUAUUAUCAUUUAUCAUUUCCAAGGGUUAUCUUUGGGAGUCAAUAUCUCAUUCAUUACUUGAUGGAUUUGAGCUUCUAAAUACUUAAUUUAAUCUACUUAUGGAGUAGAAGAUAUUGAUAUGUGGAUUCACUUUAAAUAAAUAAUUAAACCCACUUUAAUUUUGGCUCAAAUUCUAAUAGUAGUGUCUAUAAAUUAUAAGUGAUAACCAGGUGAAUAUUUAUAAUUAAAAAUUUUAAAUGAAGAGUUAAAAAAAGAACUUCUUUGUAAUGGUAUAAGAGAAAAUUUUAUAAUUAUUGAAUGACAACUAAUAAUAAAUUAAACUAAAUUUAUUAAUAAUUUAUUCAAAAAAUAAGAACAUGAUGGAAUGUAUAAGCAAUAUUUUAGUAGUUUACCAGUUAAUCGAGGCUAGUUUUAAUAAAUUGGGCUCAAGCCCUCAACAUAAAAUUCCAGUGCAGAAAUCUAAAAUGACAUGAAGUACUGAAACUUGGUUGCCUAUUUUCUGUUAACUGACUGCCUAAUUACCAUAUAUUGGAUACUUAUUUUUAUAGGAAAAUGGAGACAAUCACAGCUGUCUCCAACUACUGUUGGCAGGAAAGGGAGGGGAGGGAGGUAGAACUUGAUUUUUGUUAAAAAAUAAACUUGAACUACAAUGUACUGGUAUUAUUUAAUAAUAUUAAUAAACUUCAAUUGAUCACAAUACAUUCUACCACAUUUCAAACUUAUUGUAAUUCUCUUUAUGACCAACCUUACAGGCUAGGUUCUACCCAGUUGAGUACAGGAAGUCGCUAUUUUAUUUAGGAGAAAGAGAUGUGAUUUAAUGUAUCUGAGGAAAUUCUAAGUUUUCCUAGAUAUAUUUGUGCAGUUGAAUUUUUAGACGGAGAAAGUAGGAACUUUAGGAAUAUAGAAAACUAAAAGUGAAAAAUGGGGAAAUGAUAGAAAGUGAAAGUAGAUUGCGAGUGAAAAACGAGCAGGGACUAUGAGUAGAGUAGCAGAGUCUAAAACAUCUUUGAAAGAAAAUACGGGAUAAUAGAGAAACAAAGAUCGGAUAGACAGGGAAACAAAAUUUGCUACAGAGUUAAACACUAUCUACCUCCUCCAAUUGUAAAUUAUGGGGUUCUGACUAUCACUCAAUGGGAGUUGUAUACCUAUUUGAAUGGUAUUGUGUUUGCACCACUGUAUUGUAAUACCUAUUUUAAGCUUUCCUAAUACUGUUUAUGAUAAACUUUUGCUAGAUGGGAGAACUCAAGAAACUGGUUGAAGAGGGUAAAAUAAAAUAUAUAGGAUUGUCGGAGGCUUCUGCUUCAACAAUUAGAAGGGCUCAUGCCAUUCAUCCGGUAACUGCUGUACAGAUGGAGUGGUCAUUGUGGUCAAGAGAUUUGGAGGAAGAUAUUGUUCCUACUUGCAGGUGCAUAAACGUUUUCAUGUUUUACAAAUAUUUUUGAGAGUAACAAAUGGAUCGAAUGUUUGCUUCUAAUGUUUGUGUUAUUCACCAGAGAACUUGGUAUUGGGAUUGUCCCAUACAGUCCUAUUGGAAGAGGAUUCUUGGCAGCAGGUCCCAAGUUAAUUGAGAACCUGCCCGAGGGUGACUUUCGAAAGGUUUGGGCACAAAACCUGUAUUUUUUUGUUUUGCAGAAUAAGUCCGAUAGUAUUAGUCUUUAUAAUAUAUUCCUUAUCUGAAUAAUUGUCUUUAAAUACUCUCUGUCCCAUAGUAGAACUCUGUGCAGCUUUUCUCCCUCCUCCAUUGUAUGAGCUUAUGAGCGCAUUACUGACCAGAUUAAUCAUUUUCUUCAUAUAUAAUCCCUCCGUUGCAAUAUAUUUGAGCAAUAUUGACUUUUUAAAGUUAAUUCGACACAUUUUCAAAUUCAAAAGUGAUGUGAUUCUUUUAAAUUUUGUAAUUAGUAGUACUAUUUAGAUAAAUUUACUAUAUUUAUAUUGGUAUUGGCAAUAAUUAAAUAAAUUUGUAUCAAUUUUGAAUCUAAAAAUGUCUCAAAUUGACUUCAAAUAGUUAAAAUUACUCUUAUAUUUUGAAAGGGAGGGAGUAUAUUAGACUACUAGUGACUUAAUGUAAUCAGUAUGUAUACCAAGCUUCCUUUCAUUAUAUGUGUUUGACCCUAUCUGACGCAAACACUGCAUUUUCCACUACCAUCUUGGUGAUAUACUACCACACCUUUAACCAUUUGCCCAAGUAUCAAAGAAAACCAGAAUUUAUACCGCUCCCAAAAUCACAACUCCCUCCGUUACUUAAUAUAGGUCGUUUUAGAGUUGUGCACAAGUAUUAAGGAAAUGAUUGUAUAGCAUUAACUAUAAUAUCAAUUGUCUAUAUUGACUUUGUAUUGAAAGAAAAGAUUGUUAUUUAUUGAACAAAAAAUAGUGAGAUAAUCAAAGUUACAUUUAUUACUUGGCUUAAUAUUGGAAACUAAGCAAUUAAUGUUUACUUGAAAUUCUCAAACGACUUAUAUUAAGGAACAAAAAUAUUUCUCUAAAACGACUUGUAUUAAGUAACGGAGGGAGUACUAUUUUGUAGUCUACCUAUAGGACCUUUCUGGUGCUUAAAAAUUAUCCAAUUUGUUCAAAGACCUGCUUGAUGCACUCACACAUAGGUCUAUAAUUUUCCAAAGAGGAAGGACUCUUAUCCCGGGAGAUUCCAAAAAAUAAAACCUCGGAAUAGUGAUAGAUUGAUAGUAUUAUGCCUUGUAUUUGAAAGGGUUGUGGUUUUGGUGCUGAGAUAUGUGUGUAUGUUGUCUUUCACAGCUUAUGCCAAGGUUCAAGCCUGAGAAUCUUGAGCAUAAUAAGCACGUAUUUGAGCGGGUCAGUGAAAUAGCAGCAAGGAAAGGAUGUACUCCAUCACAGCUAGCAUUGGCUUGGGUCCAUCACCAAGGGAACGAUGUAUGCCCGAUACCUGGUACCACAAAGACGGAGAAUUUUAACCAGAAUAUUGGAGCUUUGUCGCUGAAACUAACACCAGAUGAAAUUGCUGAACUUGAAUCCUUUGCGUCGGCUGAUGCUGUAAAGGGAGACAGACACGCGUUCAUGUCAAGUACCUGGAUAAAUUCGGAAACGCCUCCAUUCUCCUCUUGGAAAGCUGAAUAAGGAUAUCUUUUGAUUAUAAGUACAUCUUUUUCUUUAUAAAUGCGAUGAUUGGAAGUAUUAUUAACUUGCUUUUUGCUAGCUUUUGUAUGUGGAAAAAAUUCAAAUCUUGAAUUAAUGCAUUUUACUACCAAAUUGCAAUAAUACAUAAGAUUAAGUUGAAUUAUAAAGUUGACUUAAUAUAUUAAAAUAUAUCAAUGAUGUGGUAGUAUGUUAAUUAUUGAUGUUAUUUGGAUGGCUGAGAAUUUAAAUUAUCGGAUUAAAAAAAUAUAUCCAAAUUAUUAAAAAUUACAUCAUAAUAUAUUUUUAAUAUUUCAUAUAAUAGAUCACACUUUUAUGUGAAAACAAAUUAUAUAAAAAUAUCAUGAAAAUAAAAUUCUCCUAUUAUAUACUCUUACUAAUCUCUUUUUUAUCACACAUUCUUGUUUAGGAGUUAGCACUUAUUAGAAGUGGUUGAAAAUUUUAUUUCAUGAUCAAUAUAUAUUAACAUCCACACAAAAAGAUCAAUUUUCUGCAUGUGUGUUAGCACUAUUAUUAUUUUUUUGACAUGUUAACCCAUAAUUCUGAAUGAGACAGUACAUAAAUUAUAUUUUCCCAAUUUCCAAUCGUGAAUUAUACUUUUGUCAUUUGCACCAGCCUCCCCUCUACGCCCACCUCAGGCCACCCCUAACGUCACCCCUCACCCACACCCACUCCACUCCACUCUCUCCCACCCCACUCUAACGUCACAGCUUACGAUUAAAAAGAUCGGACGCCUAUAUAUAUAUAUAUAUAUUGCCGCAGAAAUGGAGUACCAUCUACCGUCUACUCACUGCUACCAUCUACCGUCUCUGAGGAGAGGAGAGAGAAAUAGCUAUGGCUUCGACAGCAGUACAAGUGCCGAGAAUCAAACUGGGCUCACAAGGUUUGGAAGUUUCAGCUCAAGGACUAGGCUGCAUGGGCAUGUCUUCCAACUACGGAGCUCUGAAACCCGAAUCCGAUAUGAUCAAGCUCAUCAACCACGCCAUAGACACCGGCGUCACCUUUCUCGACACCUCCGAUGUCUAUGGGCCCCACACCAACGAAAUCCUCAUCGGAAAGGUAUUCGAGCUAAUAAUACUCUGACUACGUACAAUCAGUAAUAGUAGUAGUUCAUUUGUUUGAAUUAUGAAAUUAUGGAAUUGAGGAGAUUAAAUUAUUUGCAGGCGUUUAAGGAGAAUGGGGGAUUGAGAGAGAAGGUGCAAUUAGCCACCAAAUUUGGGUUAACUCGAAUGGAUGGGGAAAUUCGUGGGGAUCCGGAUUAUAUUCGGGCGGCUUGCGAGGGUAGCUUGAAUCGGCUGGGUAUUGAGUGUAUUGACCUUUAUUAUGCUCAUCGGAUUGACAUCCGCGUCCCUAUUGAAGUCACGGUUUGGCUCUCCAUUUCUCUGUCUUUAUGUACAACUUUUUCCUAUUUUGUAGGAGUUCAGAUCUUCUAUCUCGUUAUGCCUAUCUCUCUUUCAAGUCAUA
This 6071-nucleotide long non-coding RNA is filed under the name Panax ginseng (ginseng). RNAcentral describes it as "long non-coding RNA (PGIN_LNC009913)". The record is from RNAcentral. Lineage: Eukaryota; Viridiplantae; Streptophyta; Magnoliopsida; Apiales; Araliaceae.